This 156-nucleotide ribosomal RNA is filed under the name Helotiales sp. Its description in RNAcentral is "partial large subunit ribosomal RNA". It matches the Rfam family "Eukaryotic large subunit ribosomal RNA", at positions 99 to 261 of the family's 3401-position model. Lineage: Eukaryota; Fungi; Ascomycota; Leotiomycetes; Helotiales. The record is from RNAcentral.
CGGCAACAGCUCAAAUUUGAAAUCUCCUUCGGGCGAAUUGUAAUUUGUAGAGGAUGCUUUGGAGUCGGCCCGGUCUAAGUUCCUUGGAACAGGACGUCACAGAGGGUGAGAAUCCCGUACGUGGCCGGUGCCCCAUCCGUGUAAAGCUCCUUCGAC